AAGUCGUAACAAGGUUUCCGUAGGUGAACCUGCGGAAGGAUCAUUAACACGAUCCAACGUUAGUGCGCUCGCACUUUCUUAGAAAAGGUAACAAUCCCUGGUAAAUCAUUGCCGAACAGUUUUGAUUCAGGGACUUCUGCGUAGACUGUGCUUGAGCGUGAGGCAAGUGGCCUGGCAUUCCUCUGCUUGUUGGUGUCUGAAAGUGUCACCAGCUCUGUACGAAUGGCGCAGUCACGAUCGCUAGAGGCCGACACGGCCGGCGACCGGGUCACUGGGCGCGAGCCCCCCUCGUCACCUUUGCAUGAAAACGGGCCUGCGCUUAAUUGUGCGGCCACCAAACUCGAACAACUGUUAACAAUGGAUAUCUUGGUUCUC
RNAcentral lists this unclassified non-coding RNA (375 nucleotides) under fungal sp. RNAcentral's name for it is "partial internal transcribed spacer region". The stretch from base 1 to 46 matches the Rfam family "Eukaryotic small subunit ribosomal RNA", at positions 1786 to 1831 of the family's 1831-position model. Lineage: Eukaryota; Fungi. The record is from RNAcentral.